AUGGUCUGCGUUUGGAAAGAUUUUUCGGUUGGGGAUGGGCUCGCGGCCUAUCAGCUUGUUGGUGAGGUAAUGGCUCACCAAGGCGUCGACGGGUAGCCGGCCUGAGAGGGUGACCGGCCACACUGGGACUGAGACACGGCCCAGACUCCUACGGGAGGCAGCAGUGGGGAAUAUUGCACAAUGGGCGAAAGCCUGAUGCAGCAACGCCGCGUGAGGGAUGACGGCCUUCGGGUUGUAAACCUCUUUUAGCAGGGAAGAAGCGAAAGUGACGGUACCUGCAGAAAAAGCGCCGGCUAACUACGUGCCAGCAGCCGCGGUAAUACGUAGGGCGCAAGCGUUAUCCGGAAUUAUUGGGCGUAAAGAGCUCGUAGGCGGUUUGUCGCGUCUGCUGUGAAAUCCCGAGGCUCAACCUCGGGCCUGCAGUGGGUACGGGCAGACUAGAGUGCGGUAGGGGAGAUUGGAAUUCCUGGUGUAGCGGUGGAAUGCGCAGAUAUCAGGAGGAACACCGAUGGCGAAGGCAGAUCUCUGGGCCGUAACUGACGCUGAGGAGCGAAAGGGUGGGGGAGCAAACAGGCUUAGAUACCCUGGUAGUCCACCCCGUAAACGUUGGGAACUAGUUGUGGGGUCCAUUCCACGGAUUCCGUGACGCAGCUAACGCAUUAAGUUCCCCGCCUGGGGAGUACGGCCGCAAGGCUAAAACUCAAAGGAAUUGACGGGGACCCGCACAAGCGGCGGAGCAUGCGGAUUAAUUCGAUGCAACGCGAAGAACCUUACCAAGGCUUGACAUAUACGAGAACGGGCCAGAAAUGGUCAACUCUUUGGACACUCGUAAACAGGUGGUGCAUGGUUGUCGUCAGCUCGUGUCGUGAGAUGUUGGGUUAAGUCCCGCAACGAGCGCAACCCUCGUUCUAUGUUGCCAGCACGUAAUGGUGGGAACUCAUGGGAUACUGCCGGGGUCAACUCGGAGGAAGGUGGGGAUGACGUCAAAUCAUCAUGCCCCUUAUGUCUUGGGCUUCACGCAUGCUACAAUGGCCGGUACAAAGGGCUGCAAUACCGUGAGGUGGAGCGAAUCCCAAAAAGCCGGUCCCAGUUCGGAUUGAGGUCUGCAACUCGACCUCAUGAAGUCGGAGUCGCUAGUAAUCGCAGAUCAGCAACGCUGCGGUGAAUACGUUCCCGGGUCUUGUACACACCGCCCGUCAAGUCAUGAAAGUCGGUAACACCUGAAGCC
Molecule: ribosomal RNA, 1228 nt
Filed under: Microbacterium sp. MCCC 1A11202
Lineage: Bacteria; Bacillati; Actinomycetota; Actinomycetes; Micrococcales; Microbacteriaceae
Description: bacterial SSU rRNA
Rfam family: Bacterial small subunit ribosomal RNA
Source: RNAcentral